CCUACGGGAGGCAGCAGUGGGGAAUAUUGGGCAGUGGGCGCAAGCCUGACCCAGCAACGCCGCGUGAAGGAAGAAGGCUUUCGGGUUGUAAACUUCUUUUAAGGGGGAAGAGCAGAAGACGGUACCCCUUGAAUAAGCCACGGCUAACUACGUGCCAGCAGCCGCGGUAAUACGUAGGUGGCAAGCGUUGUCCGGAUUUACUGGGUGUAAAGGGCGUGCAGCCGGAGAGACAAGUCAGAUGUGAAAUCCACGGGCUCAACCCGUGAACUGCAUUUGAAACUGUUUCCCUUGAGUGUCGGAGAGGUCAUCGGAAUUCCUUGUGUAGCGGUGAAAUGCGUAGAUAUAAGGAAGUACACCAGUGGCGAAGGCGGAUUACUGGACGAUAACUGACGGUGAGGCGCGAAAGCGUGGGGAGCAAACAGGAUUAGAUACCCCAGUAGUC
Molecule: ribosomal RNA, 442 nt
Filed under: uncultured bacterium
Lineage: Bacteria
Description: partial 16S ribosomal RNA
Rfam family: Bacterial small subunit ribosomal RNA
Source: RNAcentral